GUAGGUGGCAAGCGUUGUCCGGAAUUAUUGGGCGUAAAGCGCGCGCAGGUGGGUUCUUUAAGUCUGAUGUGAAAGCCCCCGGGCUCAACCGGGGAGGGUCAUUGGAAACUGGGGAACUUGAGUGCAGGAGAGGAAAGUGGAAUUCCACGUGUAGCGGUGAAAUGCGUAGAUAUGUGGAGGAACACCAGUGGCGAAGGCGACUUUCUGGCCUGUAACUGACACUGAGGCGCGAAAGCGUGGGGAGCAAACAGGAUUAGAUACCCUGGUAGUCCACGCCGUAAACGAUGAGUGCUAAGUGUUGGGGGGUUUCCGCCCCUCAGUGCUGCAGCUAACGCAUUAAGCACUCCGCCUGGGGAGUACGGUCGCAAGAUUG
RNAcentral lists this ribosomal RNA (373 nucleotides) under uncultured organism. RNAcentral's name for it is "partial 16S ribosomal RNA". It matches the Rfam family "Bacterial small subunit ribosomal RNA", at positions 527 to 896 of the family's 1533-position model. The record is from RNAcentral.